GACGAACGCUGGCGGCGUGCUUAACACAUGCAAGUCGAACGGAAAGGCCCUGCUUGCAGGGUACUCGAGUGGCGAACGGGUGAGUAACACGUGGGUGAUCUGCCCUGCACUUCGGGAUAAGCUUGGGAAACUGGGUCUAAUACCGGAUAGGAGCCAUCUUUAGUGUGGUGGUUGGAAAGUUUUUUCGGUGUAGGAUGAGCUCGCGGCCUAUCAGCUUGUUGGUGGGGUAAUGGCCUACCAAGGCGGCGACGGGUAGCCGGCCUGAGAGGGUGUACGGCCACAUUGGGACUGAGAUACGGCACAGACUCCUACGGGAGGCAGCAGUGGGGAAUAUUGCACAAUGGGCGCAAGCCUGAUGCAGCGACGCCGCGUGGGGGAUGAAGGCCUUCGGGUUGUAAACUCCUUUCGCUAGGGACGAAGCUUUUUGUGACGGUACCUAGAUAAGAAGCACCGGCUAACUACGUG
Molecule: ribosomal RNA, 465 nt
Filed under: uncultured bacterium
Lineage: Bacteria
Description: partial 16S ribosomal RNA
Rfam family: Bacterial small subunit ribosomal RNA
Source: RNAcentral